RNAcentral lists this unclassified non-coding RNA (166 nucleotides) under uncultured Paecilomyces. RNAcentral's name for it is "sequence contains ITS1". Lineage: Eukaryota; Fungi; Ascomycota; Eurotiomycetes; Eurotiales; Thermoascaceae. The record is from RNAcentral.
CAGAGUUGCAAAGCUCACCAAAAACCAUUGUGAACCUUACCUCCAACCGUUGCUUCGGCGGGCGGGCCACAGCGCCCCCCCGGCCCCCCACGCGGGCGCCCGCCGGAGGAUACCCAAACUCUUGAUACUUUAUGGCCUCUCUGAGUCUUCUGUACUGAAUAAGUCA